UCAUGUCUAGUAUAAAUAACUUUAUAUUGUGAAACUGCGAAUGGCUCAUUAAAUCAGUUAUGAUCUACGUGACAAAUUCUUUACUACUUGGAUAACCGUGGUAAUUCUAGAGCUAAUACAUGCAAAAAAGCCCUGACUCACGAAGGGGUGCACUUAUUAGAUAAAACCAACGCGGGGUAAAACCUGUUUCGUGGUGAAUCAUAAUAAUUAAGCGGAUCGCAUGGCCUUGAGCCGGCGACGGUCCACUCGAUUUUCUGCCCUAUCAUGGUUGAGAUUGUAAGAUAGAGGCUUACAAUGCCUAUAACGGGUAACGGGGAAUUAGGGUUCGAUUCCGGAGAGGGAGCCUGAGAAACGGCUACCACAUCCAAGGAAGGCAGCAGGCGCGCAAAUUACCCAAUCCCGACACGGGGAGGUAGUGACAAUACAUAACAAUGCAGGGCCUUUACGGUCUUGCAAUUGGAAUGAGUACAAUUUAAAUCCCUUAACGAGGAUCAAUUGGAGGGCAAGUCUGGUGCCAGCAGCCGCGGUAAUUCCAGCUCCAAUAGCGUAUAUUAAAGUUGUUGCAGUUAAAACGUCCGUAGUCAAACUUUAGUCUUACCGGCGCGGUGGCCUGGUCUUCAUUGAUCAAGCUCGCUGUCGCUGGAGACUCCACGUCCGCUGGCUCCUAGUCCUCGUGGCUAGGGUUUUGUGGACAAUUACCAUGAGCAAAUCAGAGUGUUUAAAGCAGGCUUUUAAGCUUGAAUGUGUUAGCAUGGAAUAAUGAAAUAUGACUUUAGUCCUAUUUUCGUUGGUUUAGGUACUAUAGUAAUGAUUAAUAGAAACGGUUGGGGGCAUUUGUAUUUGGCCGCUAGAGGUGAAAUUCUUGGAUUGGCCGAAGACAAACUACUGCGAAAGCAUUUGACCCAGGACGUUUUCAUUGAUCAAGGUCUAAAGUUAAGGGAUCGAAGACGAUUAGAUACCGUCGUAGUCUUAACCACAAACUAUGCCGACUAGAGAUUGGGCGUGUUUCUUUUGACUCGCUCAGCAUCUUAGCGAAAGUAAAGUUUUUGGGUUCUGGGGGGAGUAUGGGACGCAAGGCUGAAACUUAAAGGAAUUGACGGAAGGGCGCACCCCGGAGUGGAGCCUGCGGGUUAAUUUUAUUCACACCGGGGAAAUUCCCCCGGUCCCAACAUAUUAAGGAUGGACAAAUGAAAGACCUUUCUAAAUCUAUGGGGGGGGGGGCAGGGCGCUCUUAUUCUGGGAGAGAUGUGUUGGGUGAUUCCCAAAAGAAGAGAAACUAUUCUUGUAUUUACAAGGAAAACUUUUUCG
Molecule: ribosomal RNA, 1308 nt
Filed under: Rhizopus sp.
Lineage: Eukaryota; Fungi; Mucoromycota; Mucoromycetes; Mucorales; Rhizopodaceae
Description: SSU rRNA
Rfam family: Eukaryotic small subunit ribosomal RNA
Source: RNAcentral